AGAGUUUGAUCCUGGCUCAGGAUGAACGCUAGCGGCAGGCCUAAUACACGCAAGUCGAGGGGCAGCGCAGGUAGCAAUACUGGGCGGCGACCGGCAAACGGGUGCGGAACACGUACGCAACCUUCCUUCAAGCGGGGAAUAGCCCAGAGAAACUUGGAUUAAUACCCCAUAAGAAUGUGGCCUGGCAUCAGGUAGCAUUUAAAGAUUUAUCACUUGAAGAUGGGCGUGCGUCUGAUUAGGUAGUUGGUGGGGUAACGGCUCACCAAGCCGACGAUCAGUAACUGGCGUGAGAGCGCGACCAGUCACACGGGCACUGAGACACGGGCCCGACUCCUACGGGAGGCAGCAGUAAGGAAUAUUGGUCAAUGGACGCAAGUCUGAACCAGCCAUGCCGCGUGGAGGAUGAAGGCCCUCUGGGUUGUAAACUUCUUGUAUUUGGGACGAAACACUUCUUUCUAAGGAGCUUG
RNAcentral lists this ribosomal RNA (467 nucleotides) under uncultured Bacteroidota bacterium. RNAcentral describes it as "bacterial SSU rRNA". It matches the Rfam family "Bacterial small subunit ribosomal RNA", at positions 8 to 471 of the family's 1533-position model. Lineage: Bacteria; Pseudomonadati; Bacteroidota. The record is from RNAcentral.